This 394-nucleotide ribosomal RNA is filed under the name uncultured bacterium. RNAcentral describes it as "partial 16S ribosomal RNA". It matches the Rfam family "Bacterial small subunit ribosomal RNA", at positions 523 to 918 of the family's 1533-position model. The record is from RNAcentral.
AUACGUAGGUGGCAAGCGUUAUCCGGAAUUACUGGGCGUAAAGGGUGCGUAGGUGGUUUCUUAAGUCAGAAGUGAAAGGCUACGGCUCAACCGUAGUAAGCUUUUGAAACUAAGAGACUUGAGUGCAGGAGAGGAGAGUAGAAUUCCUAGUGUAGCGGUGAAAUGCGUAGAUAUUAGGAGGAAUACCAGUUGCGAAGGCGGCUCUCUGGACUGUAACUGACACUGAGGCACGAAAGCGUGGGGAGCAAACAGGAUUAGAUACCCUGGUAGUCCACGCCGUAAACGAUGAGUACUAGCUGUCGGGGGUUACCCCCCUCGGUGGCGCAGCUAACGCAUUAAGUACUCCGCCUGGGAAGUACGCUCGCAAGAGUGAAACUCAAAUGAAUUGGCGGGG